RNAcentral lists this ribosomal RNA (438 nucleotides) under Triticum aestivum (bread wheat). Its description in RNAcentral is "partial small subunit ribosomal RNA". Lineage: Eukaryota; Viridiplantae; Streptophyta; Magnoliopsida; Poales; Poaceae. The record is from RNAcentral.
AGAUGCAAAUUCUUCAUGUGGUUAGUGGUUCAUCAGAGGUGUCUGACAGCAGACAACUUGCAAAAGCCGGAAGAUUGCACCCACCUGUUUGUGCAUUGCAGAUAUACUCAUCACAUUUGGCGACUAAUCAAGCAGUGGUCAGGCGCUAACUUCACAACACCAGAUGUGAGCUUCACCACGACGGAGGAAUGGUGCCUUCAGGUGCGGCAACAGAUACCCAAGGCUAUGAGGCGCAACUUCGACACCAUUAUCAUCCUGGUGCGUUGGAGAAUCUGGAAGGAAAGGAAUGCCAGAGUCUUGAUUAGUGCGCCAGCAAUGCGGAUAGCGUAUUCGACACGGUCAGGGAGGAGCCAGCUACAUGAAGAGCGGUCGACUGCAUCUAUGACACAACUACUUGAGUGUAGUAUGGGGCUUCCUUCGAUUUCCAGCCCGCAUUAG